RNAcentral lists this ribosomal RNA (390 nucleotides) under uncultured soil bacterium. Its description in RNAcentral is "bacterial SSU rRNA". It matches the Rfam family "Bacterial small subunit ribosomal RNA", at positions 26 to 445 of the family's 1533-position model. The record is from RNAcentral.
AGAACGAACGCUGGCGGCAUGCCUAAUACAUGCAAGUCGAACGAACUCUUCGGAGUUAGUGGCGCACGGGUGCGUAACGCGUGGGAAUCUGCCCUUGGGUUCGGAAUAACAGUUGGAAACGACUGCUAAUACCGGAUGAUGACGAAAGUCCAAAGAUUUAUCGCCCAGGGAUGAGCCCGCGUAGGAUUAGCUAGUUGGUGAGGUAAAGGCUCACCAAGGCGACGAUCCUUAGCUGGUCUGAGAGGAUGAUCAGCCACACUGGGACUGAGACACGGCCCAGACUCCUACGGGGGCAGCAGUGGGGAAUAUUGGACAAUGGGCGAAAGCCUGAUCCAGCCAUGCCGCGUGUGUGAAGAAGGUCUUCGGAUUGUAAAGCACUUUAAGUUGGGA